This 247-nucleotide long non-coding RNA is filed under the name Setaria viridis. Its description in RNAcentral is "long non-coding RNA (SVIR_LNC006927)". Lineage: Eukaryota; Viridiplantae; Streptophyta; Magnoliopsida; Poales; Poaceae. The record is from RNAcentral.
GAGAAGUUCGUUAUUUGUUUGAGUUUCUGCCUUUUUACGCUGAGAACUGCCGUGACCUAAGGUGGUGUUUGAAUCCAAAGUUCACGGACUAAAAUUUAGCUCCUAAAAUUUAGCCCCUAAAAUUUAGUUUUGCUGGGGUGUUUGGAUCCAUGGGCUAAAUUUUAGUCCUCAUCAAACAACGACUGAUUUGCCCUCCCUCCUCCUCCUUUCCCUCUCUCCUCUCCCCUUCGCCGCUGCUCCCUCCUCA